GGAUGAAGAGGAGGAGGAGGAGGAGCCCGGGGGGGGCCCCGCGCCCCCCUGGAAAAGCAGCACCCCCUUCGUGGAGCUGCCGCGCCAGGACGGCGCCACCACGUACCGGCGGGGCUGGCUGGCGCGCAAGGUGCUGGCCGAGGCCGACGGCAAGAAGGCACCCUGGGGCCGGCGGGGCUGGAAGCCCUUCCACACGGUGCUGAAGGGGACGCUGCUCUACUUCCUCAAAGCGGGGACCCCCCGCCGGGGGUCCGAGCCCCCCGGGACCCCCCCGGCAGAGGCCGAGGAGCCCCUGGGGGUCCACCACGCCUUGGCCGAGCGCGCCAGCAAGUACACCAAGCGCCCCCACGUCUUCCGCCUGCAGACGGCCGACCAGCGCGUCCUCCUCUUCCAGGCCCCGAGCGAGGAGGAGAUGUCCUCC
Long non-coding RNA from Oxyura jamaicensis (ruddy duck), 421 nucleotides. RefSeq lists it as uncharacterized. The transcript has 3 exons. The record is from RefSeq and is a predicted model, not a curated record. NCBI's taxonomy places the organism in Eukaryota, Metazoa, Chordata, Aves, Anseriformes, Anatidae.